RNA transcript from Fundulus heteroclitus (mummichog), 297 nucleotides. RefSeq lists it as uncharacterized. The record is from RefSeq and is a predicted model, not a curated record. The transcript is spliced from 3 exons. NCBI's taxonomy places the organism in Eukaryota, Metazoa, Chordata, Actinopteri, Cyprinodontiformes, Fundulidae.
UCAGCCGUGCUCAGUGGAGCAUUGAUGCAUACUGUCCCAACAACAAUACCAAUCGCACAUGCCAACGUUGUCAGGACGGAUGGGUUUCUUACCAGUCCAGCUGCUAUUCAGUAAACAACGCCCAGAGUACCAAUAGGAUAAACUGGCAAGAAGCUCAAGAAGACUGCAGAAGAAGCAAUUCAGAUCUGGUGGUUGUUUUAGAUGAAAGUGAAAAGAGUUUCGUCAGUGAACACAGUUGGGGCAGUUCAGGGAAUCAAGGGUACUGGAUUGGCCUGAAAGCAGAAGACGGCAAAUGGA